AAGUCGUAACAAGGUUUCCGUAGGUGAACCUGCGGAAGGAUCAUUAACACGUAUCCAACGUUAAACAACCCUGUGAACUUUAAGCCUACUCUUGCAGCCCAUGAGGAACAGCAAUCCCGGUAAAUCAUUGCCAAACAGUUUUGAUUCGGGACCUCUGUCCAAAAGGAGUUGCAAUUGAGUGGUAGAUGCAGUGGCAUGGCUUCCCCAAGCAGUUAGUGAAUGACAGUGUCACUGACUGUGUAAGGAUAACCGACAUGUCACAGGGCCACCGCGCCCCUUAAUCACUCCACUAGAAAAUGCCCCGCCUAGUGGUAACGCGCUAGGUAAAAAAAACCGAACAACGGUUAACAAUGGAUAUCUUGGUUCUC
This 368-nucleotide unclassified non-coding RNA is filed under the name fungal sp. RNAcentral describes it as "partial internal transcribed spacer region". The stretch from base 1 to 46 matches the Rfam family "Eukaryotic small subunit ribosomal RNA", at positions 1786 to 1831 of the family's 1831-position model. Lineage: Eukaryota; Fungi. The record is from RNAcentral.